CCUUGGAAGUAAAAGUCGUAACAAGGUCUCCGUUGGUGAACCAGCGGAGGGAUCAUUACUGAGUUUACGCUCUAUAACCCUUUGUGAACAUACCUAUAACUGUUGCUUCGGCGGGUAGGGUCUCCGCGACCCUCCCGGCCUCCCGCCUCCGGGCGGGUCGGCGCCCGCCGGAGGAUAACCAAACUCUGAUUUAACGACGUUUCUUCUGAGUGGUACAAGCAAAUAAUCAAAACUUUUAACAACGGAUCUCUUGGUUCUGGCAUCGAUGAAGAACGCAGCGAAAUGCGAUAAGUAAUGUGAAUUGCAGAAUUCAGUGAAUCAUCGAAUCUUUGAACGCACAUUGCGCCCGCCAGCAUUCUGGCGGGCAUGCCUGUUCGAGCGUCAUUUCAACCCUCAAGCUCUGCUUGGUGUUGGGGCCCUACAGCUGAUGUAGGCCCUCAAAGGUAGUGGCGGACCCUCCCGGAGCCUCCUUUGCGUAGUAACUUUACGUCUCGCACUGGGAUCCGGAGGGACUCUUGCCGUAAAACCCCCCAAUUUUCCAAAGGUUGACCUCGGAUCAGGUAGGAAUACCCGCUGAACUUAAGCAUAUCAAUA
RNAcentral lists this ribosomal RNA (594 nucleotides) under Colletotrichum fructicola. RNAcentral's name for it is "eukaryotic LSU rRNA". The stretch from base 231 to 384 matches the Rfam family "5.8S ribosomal RNA". Lineage: Eukaryota; Fungi; Ascomycota; Sordariomycetes; Glomerellales; Glomerellaceae. The record is from RNAcentral. RNAcentral also lists the same sequence under 1 other name.